This 718-nucleotide ribosomal RNA is filed under the name Syncephalis plumigaleata. Its description in RNAcentral is "eukaryotic LSU rRNA". It matches the Rfam family "Eukaryotic large subunit ribosomal RNA", at positions 392 to 933 of the family's 3401-position model. Lineage: Eukaryota; Fungi; Zoopagomycota; Zoopagomycetes; Zoopagales; Piptocephalidaceae. The record is from RNAcentral.
UCAGUCGGUGUAUUAGGUGGGGUUGUAGCGUGGUGUUCCACUUUAGAGAUUGUCCUAGGAUUAACUCACGCGUUACAAAACAGCUGAUGCACCGGUGCACUCUUUGGCAGCCGGGUCAACAUCGGUUAAUGGCGCUCGACAAGUUACUAGACAAGGUAUCAUUGGCAAGUUCGCUUGCUUUUGAACUUAUAGGUCUGGUGUACGAGGGUGCUAUUGACCGAGGAUAGUCGAUUCGCGCGUUUCGGCGCAGGGCGUAUUGGUUGGGUCAAGGCUGCCCGUGGUGCUAAUCAGCAUGCUGAUUAGUAUUCAUUUUGCUAUACUUGUAUAGCAGUGGCGGUCGUCCAGCCAGUGCAAGCCACUAGCGAGUCAAUGACGGUUGACGAAAUGGUAUUCAACGACCCGUCUUGAAACACGGACCAAGGAGUCUAACAUGUCUGCGAGUGUUUGGAUGGAAAAUCCUUACGCGGAAUGAAAGUAAAGAGGCAAGUUUCGUACUUGCCCACUGGUAGGAAUCGAAGCGUUACGGCGCGACGAGGCACUACCGACCGACCUGUUGCCCUCUGUGGUGGUAGGUUUGAGUUGGAGCAGUCCUGUUAGGACCCGAAAGAUGGUGAACUAUGCCUGAGCAGGAUGAAGUCAGAGGAAACUCUGAUGGAGGUCCGUAGCGGUUCUGACGUGCAAAUCGAUCGUCGGACUUGGGUAUAGGGGCGAAAGACUA